This 494-nucleotide ribosomal RNA is filed under the name Chloroparvula japonica. RNAcentral describes it as "partial Bacterial large subunit ribosomal RNA". It matches the Rfam family "Bacterial large subunit ribosomal RNA", at positions 2421 to 2925 of the family's 2925-position model. The record is from RNAcentral. Lineage: Eukaryota; Viridiplantae; Chlorophyta; Chloropicophyceae; Chloropicales; Chloropicaceae.
CUGCGAUCGCGUGUGGAAGCGCCGUAGCUCAUCGGAUAAAAGGUACCCCGGGGAUAACAGGCUUAUCGCUCCCGAGCGUCCAUAGCGGCGGAGCGGUUUGGCACCUCGAUGUCGGCUCAUCGCAUCCUGGGGCUGAAGGCGGUCCCAAGGGUUAGGCUGUUCGCCUAUUAAAGCGGUACGCGAGCUGGGUUCAGACCGGCGUGAGCCAGGUCGGUCCCUAUCUGCUGUGGGCGUUGCAAACUUGAGAGGAGUCAACUUUAGUACGAGAGGAUUAGGUUGGACUGACCCCUGGUGAUCCUGUUGGGCUGCUAAGCCCAUCGCAGGGUAGCUACGUCGGGCAGGGAUAACAGCUGAAAGCAUCUAAGCAGGAAGCCCCCCUCAAGAUCAGGUUUGCUUGUCUUGUACGUGAGACCCCUGGGAGACUACCAGGUUGAUAGGCCGCAGGUGUAAGGGUUGAGAAGCCCUCAGCUGAGCGGUACUAACGGUCGAAGGUU